RNAcentral lists this transfer RNA (83 nucleotides) under Schistocephalus solidus. It matches the Rfam family "tRNA". Rfam says of the family: Transfer RNA (tRNA) molecules are approximately 80 nucleotides in length. The record is from Rfam by way of RNAcentral. Lineage: Eukaryota; Metazoa; Platyhelminthes; Cestoda; Diphyllobothriidea; Diphyllobothriidae.
GGCCGCGUAGCUCAGUUGGCUAGAGCGUUGGCUGUGCUAAAGCCUUCCCUUUGCUGGCGUGGGUUCGAAUCCUACUGAAGCCG